This 388-nucleotide ribosomal RNA is filed under the name uncultured bacterium. Its description in RNAcentral is "bacterial SSU rRNA". It matches the Rfam family "Bacterial small subunit ribosomal RNA", at positions 30 to 418 of the family's 1533-position model. The record is from RNAcentral.
AUUGAACGCUGGCGGAAUGCUUUACACAUGCAAGUCGAACGGCAGCACGGGGCAACCUGGUGGCGAGUGGCGAACGGGUGAGUAAUACAUCGGAACGUGCUCAGUCGUGGGGGAUAACGUAGCGAAAGCUACGCUAAUACCGCAUACGAUCUACGGAUGAAAGCGGGGGACUCGCAAGAGCCUCGCGCGAUUGGAGCGGCCGAUGGCAGAUUAGGUAGUUGGUGGGGUAAAGGCUCACCAAGCCUGCGAUCUGUAGCUGGUCUGAGAGGACGACCAGCCACACUGGAACUGAGACACGGUCCAGACUCCUACGGGAGGCAGCAGUGGGGAAUUUUGGACAAUGGGCGCAAGCCUGAUCCAGCCAUUCCGCGUGCAGGAUGAAGGCCUC